RNAcentral lists this ribosomal RNA (377 nucleotides) under uncultured bacterium. Its description in RNAcentral is "bacterial SSU rRNA". It matches the Rfam family "Bacterial small subunit ribosomal RNA", at positions 521 to 896 of the family's 1533-position model. The record is from RNAcentral.
UAAUACGUAGGGGGCAAGCGUUGUCCGGAAUCAUUGGGCGUAAAGAGCGUGUAGGCGGCCCGGUCAGUCGGUUGUGAAAGUCAGGGGCUCAACCCUUGAAUGCCGACCGAUACUGCCGGGCUAGAGUCCGGAAGAGGCGAGUGGAAUUCCUGGUGUAGCGGUGAAAUGCGCAGAUAUCAGGAGGAACACCAAUGGCGAAGGCAGCUCGCUGGGACGGUACUGACGCUGAGACGCGAAAGCGUGGGGAGCAAACAGGAUUAGAUACCCUGGUAGUCCACGCCGUAAACGAUGGACACUAGGUGUGGGAGGUGUCGACUCCUCCCGUGCCGCAGCUAACGCAUUAAGUGUCCCGCCUGGGGAGUACGGCCGCAAGGCUA